This 211-nucleotide long non-coding RNA is filed under the name Drosophila guanche. The record is from RNAcentral. Lineage: Eukaryota; Metazoa; Arthropoda; Insecta; Diptera; Drosophilidae.
GCGUUCUUCAACUCCUUUCGCACGCUUUUGUAUGCCUCGCAGCAGAUUAAUAGUCGCGGAGUUCCCCUGGCUCGUUGAAGCUGCCUUCUCUAUUCCUUCCAUGUCCUCGCUCCACCAGAAGACUGGGACAUGGUGCCUCCCAAACGUACUUCGCUGACGCGUCCCCCAGUUGUGUCGCCCGCUCGUUGGCUCCGUCAGACUCUGAUGCCGU